RNAcentral lists this ribosomal RNA (292 nucleotides) under uncultured bacterium. RNAcentral describes it as "partial 16S ribosomal RNA". It matches the Rfam family "Bacterial small subunit ribosomal RNA", at positions 505 to 796 of the family's 1533-position model. The record is from RNAcentral.
GUGCCAGCAGCCGCGGUAAGACGAACCGUGCGAACGUUAUUCGGAUUCACUGGGCUUAAAGGGCGCGUAGGCGGGCUCGCCAGUCCGGGGUGAAAUCUUUCGGCUUAACCGGAAAAGUGCCUCGGAUACUGCGAGCCUUGAGGGAGGUAGGGGCAUGUGGAACUUCCGGUGGAGCGGUGAAAUGCGUUGAUAUCGGAAGGAACGCCGGUGGCGAAAGCGACGUGCUGGCCCUCUUCUGACGCUGAGGCGCGAAAGCCAGGGGAGCAAACGGGAUUAGAUACCCCUGUAGUCC